This 253-nucleotide ribosomal RNA is filed under the name uncultured bacterium. Its description in RNAcentral is "partial 16S ribosomal RNA". It matches the Rfam family "Bacterial small subunit ribosomal RNA", at positions 524 to 776 of the family's 1533-position model. The record is from RNAcentral.
UACAGAGGGUGCGAGCGUUGUCCGGAAUCACUGGGCGUAAAGCGCACGUAGGCGGAUCGUUAAGUCGAGGGUGAAAUCCUGGAGCUCAACUCCAGAACUGCCUUCGAUACUGGCGAUCUCGAGUCCGGAAGAGGUGAGUGGAACUCCUAGUGUAGAGGUGGAAUUCGUAGAUAUUAGGAAGAACACCAGUGGCGAAGGCGGCUCACUGGUCCGGUACUGACGCUGAGGUGCGAAAGCGUGGGGAGCAAACAGG